ACACAGGGAAGGAGGUGGUCCGAUCAAUGAUUGACGUACGGACUUGUGAGGUGGCUGCGCGCUAGCAGCUGGUGACGGGAUCACUCGCCACCGCGCAGCGAAUCCCAACGCAGUCACCCGACCCGCGGGGGCCGAGAUCUUGUCCACUCGGCAUUCAACCCCGCGGGUCGUUCCGU
This 176-nucleotide small RNA is filed under the name Mumia flava. RNAcentral's name for it is "Actinobacteria sRNA Ms_IGR-5". It matches the Rfam family "Actinobacteria sRNA Ms_IGR-5". Lineage: Bacteria; Bacillati; Actinomycetota; Actinomycetes; Propionibacteriales; Nocardioidaceae. The record is from Rfam by way of RNAcentral.